Long non-coding RNA from Platichthys flesus (European flounder), 819 nucleotides. RefSeq lists it as uncharacterized. The record is from RefSeq and is a predicted model, not a curated record. The transcript is spliced from 3 exons. Lineage: Eukaryota; Metazoa; Chordata; Actinopteri; Pleuronectiformes; Pleuronectidae.
AUGAAAACACUGCGACCUCACUACAAAGGCACAGGCACACAGAAAUGGUGCUGCACUGAUGUCGGUGUUGGGACCUCAGCUGUAAGAGGCCUCGCUUGGAGGAGGGAGAGGACAACUCAAGUUGUUCAAGUUUGGACUUCGGAGAGCCACAGGAUGCUACCUAUGAUCCUGAUGACUUGAUCACAGUCUUGACUGAGUCAGCAGAUGUGACAAUGGAAUCUUCCAACCCUGUUCAUAAGACACCCACAUAUAUUGUCUAUGAAAACUGCCCCCUGGAGCUGUUUGUGGCGUUUCCUGUGUGUCGGCGGGGGACAGAUGUAAUAUAUAAGAAGGGCGAGUGCACAGCAAAGCCGGUGAAAGCAGAUGCAGCCAUCCGUGAUUCUCACAGGCUCUAUUUAAAAUCCAAAUAAUGUACACAUAGUAUGUGAAACAUAAAUAACAUAUCAAUUAACUGCUGUCUUUAGAUGGUCUUCAAUAUUUAAAGACCAUUUAUUUAUCGUCUUCACGAUAAAUAGAAUAAUAUCAUUAUAAAAAGAAAAUAAUAAAUACAAAAAAGUGCAAAAUGUCCAACUUUUUCCCCCAAUUUGUUUUACAGAUUACUAGUGAGGGCAACAUAUGAAAAUCUGGGAACUAAAUCCUUACCAAGAAAUUUCUUAACAAUUGUGUUUAGGAAGGUGUGUAAUAUAAUGUCUUAAAAUGUUGAAAUUCAACUCCCGUGGGAAACCUCCUAAAAAAUUGCACAAAGUUGGGGUACCUGUAACCGAUUUUUGAAAAAUCGAAAACGUUAAAUUUGGCUUUAAGUAACUUGUGAGGGGUCAA